UCUGCACAUUGUUAGAGCUUGGGGUUGAGGCCGCUGGCCGGUGAACUCUCAAGUGUAGGUAGUGUGCUACACGAGCGGCAAGUUUUCGCUAACGCCACAAGGGUCUCUGGCCCAAUGAGUGGAGUUGGAUAGUAAUACUUGCUACAAAA
Molecule: small nucleolar RNA, 149 nt
Organism: Bison bison bison
Lineage: Eukaryota; Metazoa; Chordata; Mammalia; Artiodactyla; Bovidae
Source: Ensembl